This 111-nucleotide microRNA precursor is filed under the name Tupaia belangeri chinensis (Chinese tree shrew). Its description in RNAcentral is "Tupaia chinensis (Chinese tree shrew) mir-448 microRNA precursor family". It matches the Rfam family "mir-448 microRNA precursor family". The record is from Rfam by way of RNAcentral. Lineage: Eukaryota; Metazoa; Chordata; Mammalia; Scandentia; Tupaiidae.
GCAGGGAGGUUGAACAUCCUGCAUAGUGCUGCCAGGAAAUCCCUAUUUCAUACUAAGGGGGGCUGGCUGGUUGCAUAUGUAGGAUGUCCCAUCUCCCAGCCCACUUCGUCA